Long non-coding RNA from Clupea harengus (Atlantic herring), 1907 nucleotides. RefSeq lists it as uncharacterized. Lineage: Eukaryota; Metazoa; Chordata; Actinopteri; Clupeiformes; Clupeidae. The transcript is spliced from 4 exons. The record is from RefSeq and is a predicted model, not a curated record.
UGUGCAUUUUACCAAUCUCCCGAUGUUAAUUAAUUUGUAUUUAUGAAGAGGUGUUGUUCAGUCAUGGGUGGAUUAAUGGAUGGGUGAUGUCUGCUCUACAGCUGGGGACCCACUGUAACUCCAUUCUCCCUAUGUGGCAGGAAUCUGAAUAACACAUAUGAGCAACCUGAUGUUCAGAACCAGGACCCACCCCACUCAGACCCACCCACAGAUGCACAGCACAGUGACCACUUAGAUGAAACCGUUCAACAAAUGACAACAGAACAAAGCAAGGAGUUACCAGUGGCCCAACACACAGAUGCUAGUGGUGCAGAAGGGCCAGACUCUGGGAAUGGUCAGAAUGCCGCGCCCGUGCUUGUCAGAUGGAAGUCCAGAUUUUGUACCGUUAUGUGAUUGUAUCCAACUGGCACGGACAGUCUUGUGGAUUUUAUUUUUAUUGUGGGAAGUAUUUAUUAUUAAUUUGCAUAUUUAUUCAUUCAAUAAUUUAUUUAUUUAUUUAUGUUUGUUUGUUUAGCUGAAUUAUGUAUUAAUGUAUGCAUUUGGGCCCCUGCAAAAUGUUAGUGUUAGACAGACAUGUUAAAUCAGGUUUCUCCCACAUGGCUUCCAUAAAACACCAGCAUGAACAUCUGGGAUCAUCCAGAUGCUUUAUCAGCAAACACUUUAUCUAUAAAUCACAUUCAGUGCCCAGAGCUAGUUCCUUUGUGGUUGACAUUUUCAAGACAAGUGUACUGCACAUGGUGACACAAAGGUCUAGAUUUCAAUCUGGCAAAUGUGUGACUAAAAGGUUUGCCAAAUUGGUUGCAGAUGACAGAAAGAUCAUGAAUUAUUAUGUCAUGCAUCGUUUCAGUAAUGGGCCGAUUGAACCCAAAAUAAUGCUGACUUCAGCCAGCGCAUUUGUGGUCAGACUUCAAAAAAGAUACUGCCAUUCUUGAAUUGGUUACAUUUAAGAGGUGUCAGUAGCAUUUGCACAUAUAAAUCUAGCCAAGUUUAUAGUCACAAUGCUAUGAAAAUACUUUUAUAUUUUGUGGUACAAAAUGUGUCACCUGUGUGUCAUCUGUGAGGUUUUGUCAGCCAUUAGUAUGGCCAUUGAACAGCUUAGCCUACUUGUUUGUCAUAAUUGUUUGUCAAUUUGUGGAGCACUUCCUUUAGUUUUUGUUUGUUGCUUGAUGAUGUACACCACAAUUUUGUUAUUGGCUUCAAAAGAGAAAACGCAUUAACGUGUAAGAGUCCUCCAUCACGCAUUGCUGUCAGUGUUUGACUAUAAAGGGUCUCCACGCGCAGUCAAUCAAGUGGAUUGUAUGAUGGAUUUUGAGAUGAGCGUUCGGACGCUCAGGAGAGCUUCAGCACUUGUGUGAGGACAGCUCCGCUGUGUACUUCACAGCGCUCUCUCGUCGUCUCGCCUAUGCGCUACAGCUGCGGCUGCUCGUGAAACCGCCUUGCACUUACUGCACAGACACUCGCCUACUAAGCAGAAGAGCUGCAGGCUGCGUGGAGAACCGAGAACUGCGGAGAGUUACAGAUACUGGACGAAACAACAAAAAGGGUUAAACAUGUUCGAGUUGAAUAUCUGGGACCACGGACGGAAAUUCUCAACGACCAGGAACUUGCUUGACAGAACCUAGAACGUCACGGCACACGAAAAGACUCCUCACAUUGCGGUGAAUAAUGUCACCUGAUCCCAUGUGGAAAUAGUUGAAUUUUAUUAAGGAUUUUUUUUAUUAUGCAAAAUGCAUGUUGUUUCGGGAAAUGACUCAUGGUUCCAUGAAUGAUUUACAUGAAAAGACUACAACAGAACACAAGAUAUAAAGCAUCUGAAGGGUUGAGAGUGAAGAGAGAGGACACUCCAGAUGUCUGGCAGCGCCUCCUCCCCCCCGACCCUGAUUCCCAGGGAGGGGUCAAUGCACUAC